GUCCAAACCUCUGGUUUUAAUGAUGUUGUCUUCUUAAACCAUGGGCUGUAGAGUGCUGAAUAUCAAACACUGUUCAGCACACCCUGAUGUGAAAUAUUUCCCUCUCUGGCAGCUGUGCCACAUAAUAAGUGUUAAAAAAAUGCACAGAUGAGGAGAUUAGGCAAAUGGUUUAGUGGUGGAGCCGGUCCUGUAAGGUUGGUAACUGGACUUGAUGGCCUUAGAGGUCGUUUCCAAGCUUAAUGAUUCAGUAAUUCCUAUCUGGAACUGGAACAAGCCCCUUCCCAGGACACUGAGUGCAAAACUUGUGUUUUUCCAGCCCCUGUGUGCCUGUGUCUCUACCCCUCCCUGUCCUCUCCCAGGGUGAACUGUCCAGGAGAACGUGGUCCCCAGUGCUGCUCCCCUCUGCUCCCACCUCAGAGCAAGGGCAGCCACCCCUGUGAGUGCCACGUUUUGGGGGAACCAGGGAGGAACCAGGGUGGCAUUAGAGGCAGAACUCACUUGAAAAGAAAUAAAAGAAGAAAAAAAGGAAAAAAAAGCCUCCUUCCAAGAAGAAUUUAGAUCCAUACACAGCUCAGCCAGGGCCCAAUUCCAGACUGCUGUUGGAGGUGAGUAAACCAGAAGGAUCAGCUUGUUCUGGAUGGAAAUGUGUCUACAGCAAAGGCCAGCUUGGAAAUACAGCUUUGUUUUUCAGCCAAAAAUCAGACAGAAAUGGUCACAGCUGAAAUGUUACAUCAGGCCCUGGUAACUGCUCAGAGCAAACCACACAGCUGCUUAGGAAAGCAUGACUUAAAAUCUAUUUUAUUUCAGGUAAAAUUGUGAAUGUUCCUGUGUCAUUUCCAUGAGUGCCAUGGUUCCUGCAAGUACCAGGUAUAAAAAGGAAAAAAAAAAAAAAGGAAAAUAUCUGCAUUUUUAAGAUGCUUUCACAAUGCUUUGAGAUAAUUUUGUGAUUGGAGGGGAUUAGGUAUUUACCUAUGCUUUUAGUAGUAUUAUGAGAUUUAUGCUGUUAGAUCAUCCUCUUUGCCCACAUCAAAUGAUCUUUAUCAUGGCUAGUACUAAGCUAGUCAGAAAUGUUUAUUAGAAAUU
RNAcentral lists this long non-coding RNA (1083 nucleotides) under Cyanistes caeruleus (blue tit). RNAcentral's name for it is "lncRNA (ENSCCEG00000007293.1)". Lineage: Eukaryota; Metazoa; Chordata; Aves; Passeriformes; Paridae. The record is from RNAcentral.